This 454-nucleotide ribosomal RNA is filed under the name Klebsiella pneumoniae. RNAcentral's name for it is "bacterial SSU rRNA". It matches the Rfam family "Bacterial small subunit ribosomal RNA", at positions 1 to 453 of the family's 1533-position model. Lineage: Bacteria; Pseudomonadati; Pseudomonadota; Gammaproteobacteria; Enterobacterales; Enterobacteriaceae. The record is from RNAcentral.
AAAUUGAAGAGUUUGAUCAUGGCUCAGAUUGAACGCUGGCGGCAGGCCUAACACAUGCAAGUCGAGCGGUAGCACAGAGAGCUUGCUCUCGGGUGACGAGCGGCGGACGGGUGAGUAAUGUCUGGGAAACUGCCUGAUGGAGGGGGAUAACUACUGGAAACGGUAGCUAAUACCGCAUAAUGUCGCAAGACCAAAGUGGGGGACCUUCGGGCCUCAUGCCAUCAGAUGUGCCCAGAUGGGAUUAGCUAGUAGGUGGGGUAACGGCUCACCUAGGCGACGAUCCCUAGCUGGUCUGAGAGGAUGACCAGCCACACUGGAACUGAGACACGGUCCAGACUCCUACGGGAGGCAGCAGUGGGGAAUAUUGCACAAUGGGCGAAAGCCUGAUGCAGCCAUGCCGCGUGUGUGAAGAAGGCCUUCGGGUUGUAAAGCACUUUCAGCGGGGAGGAAGGCG